AAUGGUAGAACAUGUAUUUAUGUUCUCUCAUUUCUAAUUAAAUCAUUUCUUAGAUACUUAACGAAGUGUCUGUGUGUGUUUACAGCUUUGCAGAUGAAUUUAGUCUUCUGAUUCAACUGCGGAGCUCACAAGAAGAGGACCGGAGUGUGUUGACUUUGCUGAACUUCUAUAAUCACAUUUUACUCCAGAUCCGUAUAGGCCCACACAGCAUCACCUUCAUCACCACACAGCAGCGUGACUAUGAGUACAAACACCAUUUAACAUAUGCCACUGAGCACUAAGCUUUACCUAUAUUGAAAUAACAGUAUUCUUAUAAUAGUGUAUUCGAAACUCUGGCUUCAGGUUUUCAGUGUCAGGGCUGUCUGACUCGCAGUGGCACUGGAUCUCAGUUGGGGUUGCAUUUGAAUGGCUGGCUGUGUAUGUGGACUGUGUGCUGGUGGAGAAAGUGAGCUGGAUGUACCCGUACAUGGGCAUCACUACAGAUGGCCUGCUGAUGGUGGGGGGAAUCCUGGAGGGCUUUGAGACACCCUUUGAGGGAGAGCUGAGACAGAUGACCUUCAUAAUGGGAGAUGCAAAUGCUGCCAGGGAUCACUGUGCUCUUCAUCAGCAUAUGUGUGAACCUGUGAAAGAACGUGGGUUUCUUAAAACAGAAAGUAGCACUGAGAGCCCUUUUUUGUCUUCAGCUGGCUCAACAGCAGACAGACCUUUCUCAUCAAAUCCCUCUACUGGCAGAGAUGAGACUGCCAAUAUACAUCCAGUUCCAGGGCUCCGGCCUGAACCCAGAAAAUCACAUGGUUCGAACUCCAGUGUCUCUUCUAAGAAUGAAGAUCUUCGUAGUGAAUGGGACAUGUCGUCUAAUCCGAACAGAACUGCAAAGCAUUCGGUUCGUGGCUUUGUAGUGGUGGACGAGUCUGACCUUCUCACGUCUCCCGCUGUCAGCACACAUAGCAGGUAUAAGGACACCAGUGACAAAAAGAUCCAGUCUACCACCUUCAAAUCAUCAGAGGAGACCUUCACCUCUCAAAAACUGAAAGCAGAUUUGGGUGGAGGCCGUCUUGAGCGGCUCCCUUUGAAGCCCUCUGGGGACAUUGCUGACCUGGAUUCUAUUUUGAAUGUGAAGACAUCAGCUGGUCAGAAGGAUCUGGUCAGGCCUACAGCCCAUCCUGAGUUAAACCAGCUGACUGAAGAAGGUUUCUUACUUCCUUCAAAGGGCUUCGAAGUAGAUAAAAAGCCUUUGGUCAGUGUUCACUCAAAAAAAGGAUAUGAAUCGCUUGUAGGCAAAGGACAAGCUGACUACAAGCACUCAAGCAAAAAUGGAGUUGCAUUUAAACAUGGUGAUGUUAUAUUAGGCGUGGAUGGAAGGAGAUACCGGCUCCUCAGUGGACCUCCAGGGCCUGUUGGACCACCAGGGAGAACAGUGAGUUACCACAAUUAAAUCCUGAUGAAAUCAUGUGCUCUUCCAGGAUUUUCUUCUAGUAAUAUGUGCUAAAUUGGAAUCUGAAUCCAAAAGCUUGGGGAAAAAAAAAAUAGAAGUUUAUAUGCAUAGUGUCAUUUCAAUACAUGCCAUAGAAAACAUAAACUUGAGUUAAUUAUAGUGGUGAAUCUCUUUUCAGAGGGAUAAUGGAUAGAAAUAAGUACAUUUGAAUGAAUUAAAUGAGUUAAUGUAAAAGUUGUAUAAUUUUACUUGUAUAUUCUU
This is a long non-coding RNA of Cyprinus carpio (common carp), 1696 nucleotides long. Lineage: Eukaryota; Metazoa; Chordata; Actinopteri; Cypriniformes; Cyprinidae. The record is from Ensembl.